GAUGGGAUGAAUGAAUGACAGUCUCUGUGACAGGGAAAGGGAUACAGUGACUCACACAGUCACAGAGUCACUCCUCAUCUCAACGUAUUAGCCAGAGCAAGUCACAUGGGCACAUCUGCCAUGGGAAAGGAGGGGGGCAAAAUCUAAUCAUGUAACCCCCAUCUUUUGUCCAGAAGGUGGGGAGCAUCAAAUUGCCCUGAAGGGCUAAAGUGGCCAAAGUGCUACCAGAGGGUGGCCGCAGGGAGCUGGGCCAUGAAGCGUGCUUUCACUCCUGCAGUAGGGACAAACACCACCCCACCUCACCCUCAACUCUCAGGGGGAGUCAGGUCAAGGUCGACAGAGCGGAAGUAAAGACUCAGGGGCAGGUGCUUCAGAAAAGACACCAAGGGCUUGUCGGGGUGUAGAAGGUGCCACAGAGGGCUUUAUUCACAGCAACCUGCUUCCCAAUUAGCAUGGCCUCUGGAGCGAGUCACCCUCAGCCCAUAAACUCAGAGCAUCAGCAUGGGGUGGAGUCUGGCUGAGUGUGGUCUGGGUGGAUACCAUCACCACCACCUCCCUCUGGGAGCCGAUGAGGGAGGCCAGGUCUCAGGCCCCACCCCGCUCCUGUAUCUCCACAAGCUCUGUGGGAGAGUCCCUGCCUGGGGAAGCUGGGGAAGCCAGUGAAGCACUUUGCUGGAGGGAAUUUAGGCCAAGUGUCUUCAUUUCAUGAAUGAGAAGCCUCCAAGUUGCAGAUGCCACCAUGACGCCAACCUGAAUUCCCUGGGCUGAUGACCUCACCAAUGUGUCCUAGAAGACCACCUCUUCAGCGCCCUGUCCCACUAGGGAAAGACAGAAAUAGGCUGGGGGUAUAGGUUGACCUGCCAAUGGAGAAGCAGUUACAGAAGCCCGACCUUCCACCUCUGUGCCCUAUAAUGUUCCUGGGUCCAUACUCUCAGAGGGAUAAAGAAUAGGAAAGCCUCCAAUGGAUGGGAUGGGAUAAGGAACUCUCAUGAUGGGAACUGUGUGAAAUUGUACCCCUCUUAUCCAACAAACUUGUCUAUCAUAAUUAAAUAAAUAAAA
Molecule: long non-coding RNA, 1059 nt
Organism: Erinaceus europaeus (western European hedgehog)
Lineage: Eukaryota; Metazoa; Chordata; Mammalia; Eulipotyphla; Erinaceidae
Exons: 2
Source: RefSeq, a predicted model, not a curated record